RNAcentral lists this ribosomal RNA (475 nucleotides) under Curtobacterium sp. MCBA15_012. Its description in RNAcentral is "bacterial LSU rRNA". It matches the Rfam family "Bacterial large subunit ribosomal RNA", at positions 396 to 874 of the family's 2925-position model. The record is from RNAcentral. Lineage: Bacteria; Bacillati; Actinomycetota; Actinomycetes; Micrococcales; Microbacteriaceae.
UCAUCAGUGAAAUCGAGUAGGACGGGACACGAGACAUCCUGUCUGAACAUGGGGGGACCAUCCUCCAAGGCUAAAUACUACUGACUGACCGAUAGUGAACCAGUACCGUGAGGGAAAGGCGAAAAGAACCCCUGUGAGGGGAGUGAAAUAGAUCCUGAAACCGUAUGCGUACAAGCAGUCGGAGCGGACUUGUUCCGUGACGGCGUACCUUUUGUAUAAUGGGUCAGCGACUUAUGUUCAGUGGCGAGGUUAACCGUUUAGGGGAGCCGUAGGGAAACCGAGUCUUAACUGGGCGUUCAGUCUCUGGAUAUAGACCCGAAACCAGGUGAUCUAGCCAUGGGCAGGUUGAAGGUUGAGUAACAUCAACUGGAGGACCGAACCGACUAAUGUUGAAAAAUUAGCGGAUGACUUGUGGCUAGGGGUGAAAGGCCAAUCAAACCUGGAGAUAGCUGGUUCUCCCCGAAAUCUAUUUAGG